UUGACUACUUUUUUAGAAUGCAUUGCUAUCUACAUGUUUGUUUGAUUUGGUUCUAAAUCAAUUUGUAGAUGUUGCUUCUUUGCAACCAUGUCAACACUAGGUGCCUAUGUGGCAUGCCAUGAAAAAUAGCCUCUCUUUUUUUUCUUUUUUAAAAAAAAAAAAAAUUUACAUAGCAUUUUUGUUUUGAAAAUCAGUUUAGAUAGUUUGAAUGGCUAACUAAAAUAAAGUCUUGUUGGAGUACACAUUAGCUAGAGUUGUUUGGCAAAAUAGAGAGUGCAAUUUUUUGUGUGCUUAGGCAAAAUGCCUAGAAGUGUGAGUUUUUUCUUCUCUUUCUCCCUCACUUUUGCAAGGAACUAAACAGUACCUUUACCUCUUUCUACUUCUCAAUCACUCCGUAUUCAUGUAUAUACUGGUGUCUUAACCUAAUUGUUUUCCUGUGCUUUUUUGCAGCGAUGGAAGCAGAGAUAGUGGCGAAACCUCAGGCUGUGAAUCCAUGCUGUGUUGUGUUGAAAGAGAAAUACUCAAAGCUGGAAGCCUCACGGAAUGCUCUUCGACAAGGUGUAAAGAUCCAAAAUGAACUCAUUGAUAAACUUCAAAAGG
This is a non-coding RNA of Camellia sinensis, 600 nucleotides long. The record is from RefSeq and is a predicted model, not a curated record. NCBI's taxonomy places the organism in Eukaryota, Viridiplantae, Streptophyta, Magnoliopsida, Ericales, Theaceae.